AGAGUUUGAUCCUGGCUCAGGACGAACGCUGGCGGCACGCUUAACACAUGCAAGUCGAACGAGAGAAGAGGAGCUUGCUUUUCUGAUCUAGUGGCGGACGGGUGAGUAACACGUGAGCAAUCUGCCUUUCAGAGGGGGAUACCGAUUGGAAACGAUCGUUAAUACCGCAUAACAUAAUUGAACCGCAUGAUUUGAUUAUCAAAGAUUUAUCGCUGAAAGAUGAGCUCGCGUCUGAUUAGCUAGUUGGUAAGGUAACGGCUUACCAAGGCGACGAUCAGUAGCCGGACUGAGAGGUUGAUCGGCCACAUUGGGACUGAGACACGGCCCAGACUCCUACGGGAGGCAGCAGUGGGGAAUAUUGCACAAUGGAGGAAACUCUGAUGCAGCGAUGCCGCGUGAGGGAAGAAGGUUUUAGGAUUGUAAACCUCUGUCUUCAGGGACGAAAAAAGACGGUACCUGAGGAGGAAGCUCCGGCUAACUACGUGCCAGCAGCCGCGGUAAUACGUAGGGAGCGAGCGUUGUCCGGAAUUACUGGUGUAAAGGGAGCGUAGGCGGGAUCGCAAGUCAGAUGUGAAAACUAUGGGCUUAACCCAUAAACUGCAUUUGAAACUGUGGUUCUUGAGUGAAGUAGAGGUAAGCGGAAUUCCUAGUGUAGCGGUGAAAUGCGUAGAUAUUAGGAGGAACAUCAGUGGCGAAGGCGGCUUACUGGGCUUUAACUGACGCUGAGGCUCGAAAGCGUGGGGAGCAAACAGGAUUAGAUACCCUGGUAGUCCACGCCGUAAACGAUGAUUACUAGGUGUGGGGGGACUGACCCCUUCCGUGCCGCAGCAAACGCAAUAAGUAAUCCACCUGGGGAGUACGACCGCAAGGUUGAAACUCAAAGGAAUUGACGGGGGCCCGCACAAGCAGUGGAGUAUGUGGAUUAAUUCGAAGCAACGCGAAGAACCUUACCAGGUCUUGACAUCGUAUGCAUAGCUCAGAGAUGAGUGAAAUCUCUUCGGAGACAUAUAGACAGGUGGUGCAUGGUUGUCGUCAGCUCGUGUCGUGAGAUGUUGGGUUAAGUCCCGCAACGAGCGCAACCCUUACUGUUAGUUGCUACGCAAGAGCACUCUAGCAGGACUGCCGUUGACAAAACGGAGGAAGGUGGGGAUGACGUCAAAUCAUCAUGCCCCUUAUGACCUGGGCCUCACACGUACUACAAUGGCUGUCAACAGAGGGAAGCAAAGCCGCGAGGUGGAGCGAACCCCUAAAAGCAGUCUUAGUUCGGAUUGUAGGCUGCAACCCGCCUACAUGAAGUCGGAAUUGCUAGUAAUCGCAGAUCAGCAUGCUGCGGUGAAUACGUUCCCGGGCCUUGUACACACCGCCCGUCACGCCAUGGGAGUCGGUAACACCCGAAGCCUGUAGUCUAACCGCAAGGAGGACGCAGUCGAAGGUGGGAUUGAUGACUGGGGUGAAGUCGUAACAAGGUA
RNAcentral lists this ribosomal RNA (1469 nucleotides) under metagenome. RNAcentral describes it as "bacterial SSU rRNA". It matches the Rfam family "Bacterial small subunit ribosomal RNA". The record is from RNAcentral.